UGCGUAGGCGGCCAUGCAAGUCAGAUGUGAAAUCCCACGGCUCAACCGUGGAACUGCGUUUGAAACUGCAUGGCUUGAGGGAGAUAGGGGUGAGCGGAACUGAUGGUGGAGCGGUGAAAUGCGUUGAUAUCAUCAGGAACACCGGUGGCGAAGGCGGCUCACUGGGUCUCUUCUGACGCUGAGGCACGAAAGCUAGGGGAGCGAACG
Molecule: ribosomal RNA, 207 nt
Filed under: uncultured bacterium
Lineage: Bacteria
Description: partial 16S ribosomal RNA
Rfam family: Bacterial small subunit ribosomal RNA
Source: RNAcentral